GAUGAACGCUGGCGGCGUGCCUAAGACAUGCGAGUCGAACGAGAUCUUCGGGUCUAGUGGCGCACGGGUGCGUAACGCGUGGGAAUCUGCCCUUUGGUUCGGAAUAACAGUUGGAAACGACUACUAAUACCGGAUGAUGACGAAAGUCCAAAGAUUUAUCGCCAGAGGAUGAGCCCGCGUAGGAUUAGCUAGUUGGUGUGGUAAAGGCGCACCAAGGCGACGAUCCUUAGCUGGUCUGAGAGGAUGAUCAGCCACACUGGGACUGAGACACGGCCCAGACUCCUACGGGAGGCAGCAGUGGGGAAUAUUGGACAAUGGGCGAAAGCCUGAUCCAGCAAUGCCGCGUGAGUGAUGAAGGCCUUAGGGUUGUAAAGCUCUUUUACCCGGGAUGAUAAUGACAGUACCGGGAGAAUAAGCUCCGGCUAACUCCGUGCCAGCCGCCGCCGUAA
RNAcentral lists this ribosomal RNA (449 nucleotides) under uncultured bacterium. RNAcentral's name for it is "partial 16S ribosomal RNA". It matches the Rfam family "Bacterial small subunit ribosomal RNA", at positions 28 to 523 of the family's 1533-position model. The record is from RNAcentral.